CACGGAGUUAGCCGGAGCUUAUUCUCCCGGUACGGUCAUUAUCAUCCCGGGUAAAAGAGCUUUACAACCCUAAGGCCUUCAUCACUCACGCGGCAUUGCUGGAUCAGGCUUUCGCCCAUUGUCCAAUAUUCCCCACUGCUGCCUCCCGUAGGAGUCUGGGCCGUGUCUCAGUCCCAGUGUGGCUGAUCAUCCUCUCAGACCAGCUAAGGAUCGUCGCCUUGGUGAGCCUUUACCUCACCAACUAGCUAAUCCUACGCGGGCUCAUCCUUGGGCGAUAAAUCUUUGGUCCGAAGACAUCAUCCGGUAUUAGCUGGAAUUUCUCCCAGUUAUUCCGAACCCAAGGGCAGAUUCCCACGCGUUACGCACCCGUGCGCCACCAGACCCGAAGGUCUCGUUCGACUUGCAUGUGUUAGGCAUGCCGCCAGCGUUCGUUCUGAGCCAGGAUCAAACUCU
This 453-nucleotide ribosomal RNA is filed under the name uncultured Sphingomonadaceae bacterium. RNAcentral describes it as "partial 16S ribosomal RNA". Lineage: Bacteria; Pseudomonadati; Pseudomonadota; Alphaproteobacteria; Sphingomonadales; Sphingomonadaceae. The record is from RNAcentral.